This 2631-nucleotide long non-coding RNA is filed under the name Mus musculus (house mouse). RNAcentral describes it as "predicted gene, 33195, transcript variant 2 (Gm33195)". The record is from RNAcentral. Lineage: Eukaryota; Metazoa; Chordata; Mammalia; Rodentia; Muridae.
AGUGCUUUCCUGCGGACGUGCGCUGCUGCCCAGCCUCAGGCUCCAGUCCUGCGCUGGCUGCUGCUGGCUGUCGUCAGCGAUGCCGCCGCCGGCCACAAGGUGGCAGUGCCGUGCUGCGUGGCUACACGCCCCUGGAAGCACCGGACCAGCCUUGGUCUGGCAAAAGUUUUCCAGUCUUUCCAGCAGAUGCGCCCAGGCCGUGAGCCCUCCCGGGCGGCCUGGAGGCAAGGGAUCGGGUGGGGGUGGGGUAGCCGCCGAUGUCCUGGGUGGCUUUGGGGGCGAUUUGCAAAGGCAUGCAUUUGUUGUUAAGAGCUCGGAGAAACAGUUUGGGGGAGCCUGUCACAGAUGCAAAGUCUGUUGAUAUUUCCAGGAGUGUUUGGUUUGGUUUGGGCUUUAGGGACCUACAGCAAGCAUCGAUUCUCGUGGAGGCGAACAACACUGACAGCUACUCUUUGUCUCUCGUCGGGAUUCUGAACAGAGCCCGACGUCGCUUCCAUUUCAGAGAUAUAUGCCGCUGACACUACCUUGAGAGAGCUCCUGCCUCCAUGGUUCCUGACCUGCCUAGAAGGGGAGGGCGCAGGAGACUCUUGUUCUACAGCUGUCCUCGGGAUGCCCUCAAUUCCCAGGCGCAGGGAUAAGCUUGUCUGACCCCAUUUGACCCCGCCGCAGGCGCCAGGCGUCCUCAUUUAUUGCGAGGCCUAAGAGUCCUCAAGGCUUACUGCCUGCCUACCCCCCUCCCCCACCACCCGCCGCUCUUCGUUUUUUGGUGUUUUGUUUUGUUUUGUUUUGUUUUUCCUCUCCUUGUCCUGUGCGGGAAUCAUAUGCCUCCUUCCUGUUGUCUAAGCUCCCCUCUUCCGUAGGCACAAACCUGCCCCCUCUGCGUUUUUUACCUUAAAACAGGUGUUCUGAGGAUUGUCUCUAGUUCUGGCGACGUCUUGAAAGAACUGAGUCUGAGCGAGGCAGACAGACGGCAGCAUUAGUGGUGAUGGAGCUGCACUGCUAAAUGUGGAGAUGGGAGGGGAAACACACCUGGGCUUCCACAGGGCAGGAGAAGAUCUGUCACUUGGGCAGAGCCUUUGAGUCGCACUCAGGUGAUCUCCAGGUAUCUUUUGUCUGUUUUAACCUGACAUUCAUUUGCAUCUAACAGGACUCCCGAAAGAAGCCUGGUGUAACUGAGUCUGGAAUUUUUGCUGGGCUUGCUAGGUCUACACUCUCCCACCUGUGCUCCGAGGAGAGGUGUAGACUAUCUCUUGGAUUUUGCUUGGAGGAUGUCCUUUCCGGACUCAGGACCUAGGAGAGACCAGCAGGAAACAGAACAGAGUCUACAUAGGUGAAUAUCAAAGAAUCACCUGGAGAGAUUUACAGAGUCUUGGGAAGCUACGGUUUUUGUCCAUGGGGCUGAGUUGCUACACCACCCUAGAUGGUGGGCUGAGGGGCCUCUUCUGAUGAACUCCCUUCAGAAUGCAUUCCCUUCACAUCUGUUACCUCUUGCGGUGUGGGUCGCUGCUCUGUGGAAGUUGGACAGAACCCUUGGAACCUCCCGUGUGAUUCUGAAGUCUAGUGCAAACUCCAGUCAGUAAACUAAGAGAAACCAUUUUUAGUCAAAGGAAGCAAGGAACACUCCAACCAGCCCAGACUGACUUUCUUCUGUGGUUAAAAAUCUGGAUCUCCAUGUAAUUGCAACUGGGAAGAUCCUGCUGGAAGAUGUGCCAAGGUAGCCCCACAUGUUCCAAAGGGAUCGAAACUCAUUUGGAAGGGUAUGUUCUGAGAGAGAGAGAGAGAGAGAGAGAGAGAGAGAGAGAGAGAGAGAAGAAGAAGAAGAAGAAGAAGAAGAAGAAGAAGAAGAAGAAGAAGAAGAAGAAGAAGAAGAAGAAGAAGGAAGAACAACAAGAACAACAAGGAAGAAGAAGGAGAAGAAGGAGAAGGAGGAGAAGAAGGAGGAGGAGGAGGAGGAGGAAGAAGGAGAAGAGAGAGAAUUUCUUCUACUACUUCUUUAUAUUUAUGUAUUUAUUCUCUUUUGCACUUAGUGUGUAACUUGGUGCCUUACAUAAACCAUGGAAUAAUUAGGCUUUCUUCAGGAUGUAAGGAAAUUCCCUACAUCAGAGGACCUUACUAUCCAAGCUAAGGUAAGAAUGAAGUCCCAGCCGCAAGGGUGAUGGAAGGGAGACGAUGAAGAUAACAUAUGGUGGGAACAUCUCCAGGGAUGAUGGGAGAUACGGCUACAAAUGCUGCAUCCUAGGAGGAUGAAUUCUUUUCCUGUCUGCCAGUGAUCUCAGUUUUGUCAAUCAUUUCCAUGUACCCUCCCACUUCCUACAACUGCACUUAAGCCUUAGAAGAAAUAGGACAGGCAGUCUGGACAACGAGUGACACCAGGGAGUCCCUAGGUGUGUAUUUCCUUGUAUGUCUCUGUAAGUGUGGUCCCCAGCAUCCUAAUGGUUUGAUUUUGGCAGUAACUGGCUUUCUUAGGCACACCACCACUGUCGUUGUGGCAUGCUCACUAAACAUGGACUCCCUGUUCUUUGCUAAUCAAAUCUACCUGUAUACUCAGAAAUGCCACGAGUAGUCUAAGGCAGGCAUUGGCUAUGCCUACCUGUCACCUCUUUGGGAAAAAUAAAGUUUUAUUAGAACACA